Molecule: small nuclear RNA, 166 nt
Filed under: Gossypium raimondii (Peruvian cotton)
Lineage: Eukaryota; Viridiplantae; Streptophyta; Magnoliopsida; Malvales; Malvaceae
Description: snRNA LOC128032854
Rfam family: U4 spliceosomal RNA
About the family: U4 small nuclear RNA (U4 snRNA) is a component of the major U2-dependent spliceosome.
Source: RNAcentral
AUCUUUGCGCUUGGGGCAAUGACGCAGCUAGUGAGGUUCUAACCGAGGCGCGUCUAUUGCUGGUUGAAAACUAUUUCCAAACCCCCUCUUAGGCCUGGGUUACGCCUUGGCCUUGGAGAAUUUCUGGAAGGGCUCCCUUCGGGGUAAAUCCCUACAGUUCUUAGUC